AAAAAUCUGAGAAGAAUCAGCAAUUUGGCUUUUGAGCAACUUAGUUACUUCUUCGGCUUGAAGACAUUCAUCAUCCUGGUAAGCAUUCAAAGCUUCGGCUGUUAGGUUGACGUCACAAUCAUUUUCAGCAUCUCCGAAUUGAGGAUUUUUUUCCACAGUAGCAUCUUCUAUUUCACAAACUUCAACCUUCAGAAAAUUCUCAUUGGCUGCUUCUGAUUCCAGAACAGGCUCCCUCAUUGAAUUAGAAAUGAUCAUAGCUCCAGUCAAAUAUCCCUCGGCUUCUUCAUUCGUCUCUUCCAUAGUUAUUGGUUCCUUGAUUGCAUCUUCAAUGGAAGAAAUUUGGUCACAAGUUGAAUCACCAGUGACUUGU
This 370-nucleotide long non-coding RNA is filed under the name Jatropha curcas. Its description in RNAcentral is "long non-coding RNA (JCUR_LNC000934)". Lineage: Eukaryota; Viridiplantae; Streptophyta; Magnoliopsida; Malpighiales; Euphorbiaceae. The record is from RNAcentral.